CAUGUAUGUAUAGCAGUAUACGUGAUAUUGGCACGGCUCAAUCAAAUAACCGAGCUCUAAUCUUCUAUGGAGCACGGCUCUCUAAUUGAACCGCACCAAUAUCCCGUAUGUUUAACAGCAUC
RNAcentral lists this microRNA precursor (122 nucleotides) under Orobanche cernua var. cumana. The record is from RNAcentral. Lineage: Eukaryota; Viridiplantae; Streptophyta; Magnoliopsida; Lamiales; Orobanchaceae.